UUGCUUCUGCAGCACAUAUACUAAAAUUGGAACAAUACAGAGAAGAUGAACAUCACCCCAACACAAGAUGACACACUCAUUUGUGAAAUAUUUCCAAUUUUU
This is a small nuclear RNA of Choloepus didactylus (southern two-toed sloth), 102 nucleotides long. The record is from RefSeq and is a predicted model, not a curated record. Lineage: Eukaryota; Metazoa; Chordata; Mammalia; Pilosa; Megalonychidae.